GGCGGCAUGCUUUACACAUGCAAGUCGAACGGCAGCAUGGGCUUCGGCCUGAUGGCGAGUGGCGAACGGGUGAGUAAUGCAUCGGAACGUGUCCCGUAGAGGGGGAUAACCAUCCGAAAGGAUGGCUAAUACCGCAUAUGCUCUAUGGAGGAAAGCAGGGGACCUUCGGGCCUUGUGCUAUGGGAGCGGCCGAUGUCGGAUUAGCUAGUUGGUAGGGUAAAGGCCUACCAAGGCGACGAUCCGUAGCUGGUCUGAGAGGAUGAUCAGCCACACUGGGACUGAGACACGGCCCAGACUCCUACGGGAGGCAGCAGUGGGGAAUUUUGGACAAUGGGGGCAACCCUGAUCCAGCCAUGCCGCGUGAGUGAAGAAGGCCUUCGGGUUGUAAAGCUCUUUUGUACGGGAAGAAGAAGUUAGGGUUAAUACCCCUUGACUGAUGACGGUACCGUAAGAAUAAGCACCGGCUAACUACGUGCCAGCAGC
This 483-nucleotide ribosomal RNA is filed under the name uncultured bacterium. RNAcentral's name for it is "bacterial SSU rRNA". It matches the Rfam family "Bacterial small subunit ribosomal RNA", at positions 38 to 515 of the family's 1533-position model. The record is from RNAcentral.